This 253-nucleotide ribosomal RNA is filed under the name uncultured bacterium. RNAcentral describes it as "partial 16S ribosomal RNA". It matches the Rfam family "Bacterial small subunit ribosomal RNA", at positions 524 to 776 of the family's 1533-position model. The record is from RNAcentral.
UACAGAGACUGCAAGCGUUAUUCGGAUUCACUGGGCGUAAAGGGUGCGCAGGCGGCCGUGUGUGUGAGGCGUGAAAGCCCGGGGCUUAACCCCGGAAUUGCACCUCAAACUACACGGCUAGAGCAUUGGAGAGGGUAGCAGAAUUCACGGUGUAGCAGUGAAAUGCGUAGAUAUCGUGAGGAAUACCAGAGGCGAAGGCGGCUACCUGGACAAUUGCUGACGCUCAGGCACGAAGGUCAGGGGAGCAAACGGG